Molecule: ribosomal RNA, 593 nt
Filed under: Exaiptasia diaphana
Lineage: Eukaryota; Metazoa; Cnidaria; Anthozoa; Actiniaria; Aiptasiidae
Description: partial 12S ribosomal RNA
Rfam family: Bacterial small subunit ribosomal RNA
Source: RNAcentral
CUGACGCGGUUAAACUUAAGGGCUGGUCUUUAUAAGUAAAAAGGCGUAGAGGAUGUGUAGGCCAAGAAAUUAUCUAAGAAGGUAAAUGGAAUUUUUCUGGAGCGGUAAAAUGUGAAGAUAGAAAAUAGAACACCUAAGGUUAAAACUAUUUACCACAAAAUAGGCUGAAACAUGAGAGAGUGGGGAGCAAACAGGAUUAGAGACCCUGGUAGUCCACUCUGUAAACUUUGAAGAUUAUGUUUAGCAGGCCCGAAAGGUAAAAUCUUCCGCCUGAGUAGUACGAUCGCAAGAUUAAAAUUCAAAAACUUUGGCUGUUCACUACUUCGAUUAGAGGAGCGUGUAGUUUAAUUCGAUGGUCCGCGUGUUACCUUACCCCAGCUUGAAUCUAUGACCGGUAUUGCAUGGCCGUCGUAAGUCCCUGUGUUAAACUAAAAGGGACCCAAUCCGGGCGUUUGCCUGAAGGAAGUCAGGUCUUAUGAUCCGAAUGUUGGGGGAUUUAUGCGCUACAUUUUCUUAUAUAAUGAGAGACUUGAGAGGUAAGCCUCUAAAGUAAGAGUUCGGAAGGUCGCUGUAAAACGACUGGAAGUUGGAUU